This 160-nucleotide unclassified non-coding RNA is filed under the name soil metagenome. Its description in RNAcentral is "partial internal transcribed spacer 1". The record is from RNAcentral.
CAAGAAUCGAGGCUGACGGUGCCUACUCCCUAGGCUCCGUCCAGUCCCGCUCUCUACCUUGCCUACUGCACCGUUUGUUGCUUCCUGGCGGCGUCCCGUCGCCAGGGCCUUUUGAAAACCAAGUAUAAGCAUUGAAACUUCUGACAUACACUAAAUCGUA